ACAACGAAAAGGUCAUUACGUUUGCAAGUGAAUGUAUAUAAAGCGCAAAUAUUCAUCCACUGUCAUAACAUUUCCCAAUUAUCAGAGAAACCAUGUUGAAGUCCUUACGUGUACUGAUUUUUGUGUGUUCCACGUUUACCGUUUCAGCGACUUUAAUACCUCGGACAGCCACUAAGUGAUUUACAGACGCCGAAUGUGGACAAGAUGAAUGCUGUUUCCGCCACGAGGGACCGUGAAUAGCCAGCAAACGCCAAGACGGGUUACUCACGGGAAUUCAUUUCGGUGUGUGCGAGAAGUACCAGGGGCUUGGAGAUUUAUGCAAUUCCAUCGAUAAAAUGAAUGGUCACUGUGGCUGCGGGUCAGGACUCACCUGUUCAGCGAUCCACCACACCACAGUCACUCCAACAUUCCAAAAACGUACCUACGUACCUGGGCAAUGUCAGUCCAACAUAUA
Molecule: long non-coding RNA, 454 nt
Organism: Magallana angulata
Lineage: Eukaryota; Metazoa; Mollusca; Bivalvia; Ostreida; Ostreidae
Exons: 3
Source: RefSeq, a predicted model, not a curated record